UUGUCUAUUAAUUGUAGACCUGUAUGAAAGGCAAAAUGAGGGCCUAACUGUCUCUUAUAACCAAUCAAUUAAACUGAUCUCCCAGUACAAAAGCUGGGAUACUUACAUAAGACCAGAAGACCCUGUGAAGCUUAAACUAAACUAUUAAACCACAUAAUAGCUCCUUUUGGUUGGGGCGACCUUGGAAAAAAAAAGAACUUCCAAACAACAGUGAUUUUAACUCACCCACCACCAGGCCAACAAGCCAAAUAACGACCCAGCAUUGCUGAUCAAUGAAACAAGUUACUCCAGGGAUAACAGCGCUAUCUUCUUCAAGAGCCCGUAUCAAAAAGAAGGUUUACGACCUCGAUGUUGGAUCAGGACAUCCUAUUGGUGCAGCAGCUAUUAAGGGUUCGUUUGUUCAACGAUU
This 409-nucleotide ribosomal RNA is filed under the name Malpolon moilensis (Moila snake). Its description in RNAcentral is "partial 16S ribosomal RNA". It matches the Rfam family "Bacterial large subunit ribosomal RNA", at positions 1969 to 2589 of the family's 2925-position model. Lineage: Eukaryota; Metazoa; Chordata; Lepidosauria; Squamata. The record is from RNAcentral.